Molecule: ribosomal RNA, 542 nt
Filed under: Cordyceps tenuipes
Lineage: Eukaryota; Fungi; Ascomycota; Sordariomycetes; Hypocreales; Cordycipitaceae
Description: eukaryotic LSU rRNA
Rfam family: 5.8S ribosomal RNA (bases 196-355)
Source: RNAcentral
GGUNCAUUACANGNAUUUUACAACUACCCAACCCUUCUGUGAACCUACCCAUAGUUGCUUCGGCGGACCCGCCCCAGCGUCCGGACGGNCCAGCGCCGGCCCGCGACCUGGGACCCAGGCGGCCGCCGGGGACCACGCAACACCUGUAUCUGUCAGCCUCUCUGAAUCCGCCGCAAGGCAACACAAACGAAUCAAAACUUUCAACAACGGAUCUUCUUGGUUCUGGCAUUCGAUGAAGAACGCAGCGAAAUGCGAUACGUUAAUGGUGAAUUGCAGAUAUUCCGUGAAUCAUUCGAAUCUUUGAACGCACAUUGCGCCCGCCAGCAUUCUGGNGGGCAUGCCUGUUNGAGCGUCAUUUCAACCCUUCGACGUCCCCCGGGGACGUCGGCUUUGGGGACCGGCAGCACCCCGNCCNGCCCUGAANGGAGUGGCGGNCCGUCCGCGGCGACCUCUGCGCAGUACAAGCACUCGCACCGGGAACCCGACGCGGCCCCGCCGUGAAACCCCCAACCUUUGAACGUUGACCUCGGUCAAGUAGGAAU